RNAcentral lists this ribosomal RNA (435 nucleotides) under uncultured bacterium. Its description in RNAcentral is "partial 16S ribosomal RNA". It matches the Rfam family "Bacterial small subunit ribosomal RNA", at positions 29 to 507 of the family's 1533-position model. The record is from RNAcentral.
AACGAACGCUGGCGGCAGGCCUAACACAUGCAAGUCGAGCGGACAUCUUCGGAUGUUAGCGGCGGACGGGUGAGUAACGCGUGGGAACGUGCCCUUUGCUUCGGAAUAGCCUCGGGAAACUGGGAGUAAUACCGGAUGUACCCUUUGGGGGAAAGAUUUAUCGGCAAAGGAUCGGCCCGCGUUGGAUUAGGUAGUUGGUGGGGUAAUGGCCUACCAAGCCGACGAUCCAUAGCUGGUUUGAGAGGAUGAUCAGCCACACUGGGACUGAGACACGGCCCAGACUCCUACGGGAGGCAGCAGAGGGGAAUCUUAGACAAUGGGGGAAACCCUGAUCUAGCCAUGCCGCGUGAGCGAUGAAGGCCUUAGGGUUGUAAAGCUCUUUCACCGGGGAAGAUAAUGACGGUACCCGGAGAAGAAGCCCCGGCUAACUCCGUG